AACGAACGCUGGCGGCGCGUUUUAAGCAUGCAAGUCGAGCGGCAAGGGCCUUUUGGUCCCUAGAGCGGCGGACGGGUGAGUAACACGUGGACAAUCUGCCCCCCGGACCGGGAUAGCCCAGGGAAACCUGGAUUAAUACCGGAUGAGACGAGAGAGGCGAAGGCUUUUCUCGGGAAAGGCGCUACGGCGCCGGCGGGGGAUGAGUCUGCGUCCCAUUAGCUAGACGGCGGGGUAACGGCCCACCGUGGCGACGAUGGGUAGCCGGCCUGAGAGGGUGGACGGCCACAUUGGAACUGAGACACGGUCCAGACUCCUACGGGAGGCAGCAGCUAAGAAUCUUCCGCAAUGGGCGAAAGCCUGACGGAGCGACGCCGCGUGAACGAAGAAGGCCGUGAGGUUGUAAAGUUCUUUUCGGGAGGGGGAACAACCGUGGCAGGGAAUGGCCGCGGGAUGACGUGAAUCCCGGAAUAAGCCCCGGCUAACUACGUGCCAGCAGCCGCGGUAACACGUAGGGGGCGAGCGUUGUUCGGAAUCAUUGGGCGUAAAGGGCGAGCAGGCGGUCCUGCAAGUCCGGCGUGAAAGACCCCGGCCCAACCGGGGGGACGCGCUGGAAACUGCGGGGCUUGAGUACAGGAGGGGAUGCCGGAAUUCCAGGUGUAGGGGUGAAAUCUGUAGAUAUCUGGAAGAACACCAAUGGCGAAGGCAGGCAUCUGGCCAUGUACUGACGCUGAGACGCGAAGGUGCGGGGAGCAAACAGGUUUA
Molecule: ribosomal RNA, 762 nt
Filed under: Spirochaetaceae bacterium S37_12_1
Lineage: Bacteria; Pseudomonadati; Spirochaetota; Spirochaetia; Spirochaetales; Spirochaetaceae
Description: bacterial SSU rRNA
Rfam family: Bacterial small subunit ribosomal RNA
Source: RNAcentral